This 253-nucleotide ribosomal RNA is filed under the name uncultured bacterium. RNAcentral's name for it is "partial 16S ribosomal RNA". It matches the Rfam family "Bacterial small subunit ribosomal RNA", at positions 524 to 776 of the family's 1533-position model. The record is from RNAcentral.
UACGGAGGGGGCUAGCGUUGUUCGGAAUUACUGGGCGUAAAGCGCACGUAGGCGGCUUUGUAAGUUAGAGGUGAAAGCCCGGGGCUCAACUCCGGAAUUGCCUUUAAGACUGCAUCGCUAGAAUUGUGGAGAGGUAAGUGGAAUUCCGAGUGUAGAGGUGAAAUUCGUAGAUAUUCGGAAGAACACCAGUGGCGAAGGCGACUUACUGGACACAUAUCGACGCUGAGGUGCGAAAGCGUGGGGAGCAAACAGG